GCGGCCGGCGGCGGCGGUUGGUGAAGGGCAAUUGCAGUAAUGGACUGACUGGUAAAGAUGGAGAGAGGGAGAGGAGGAGGAGGAGCAGGAGGAAGGAGUGUGGGGGGCUCCAGCCUGCACAGGAGCAUUUACUCCCAGUCUCAACAGCAGUAUCACUAUCCUGCCUCCUCUCAGGGGGGCUGCAUGGAGAUCCAGGAGCUAGCCUCCAAAAGGGUGGACAUCCAGAAAAAGCGAUUUUAUCUGGAUGUGAAGCAGAGUUCCCGAGGCCGCUUCCUGAAGAUAGCGGAGGUCUGGAUAGGAAGAGGCAGGCAGGAAAAUAUCAGGAAAAGCAAACUGACUCUUUCCUUGUCUGUGGCUGCUGAGCUGAAGGAUUAUCUGGGAGAUUUCAUAGAGCACUAUGCCCAUUUGGGCCUCAAAGGCAGCCAGAGUCAUAGACAUGAACACAGUAAUGGCAAAGAUCAAGAUUUGAGAAGGCGGCAACAGCAUCAUCUGCCUUCGCCUCCAGCAUCUGUUGAAUCCGAAGAGCAUCCUCACAGUGUCCUGAAAACUGAGUAUAUAGAAAGAGACAACAGGAAGUAUUAUCUAGACCUGAAGGAGAAUCAACGUGGGCGUUUCUUAAGGAUUAGACAAACCAUGAUUAGAGGACCGGGCAUGAUAGGUUAUUUUGGCCACAAUUUGGGACAGGAACAGACUAUUGUCCUUCCAGCCCAAGGGAUGAUUGAAUUCAGGGAUGCUUUGGUCCAGCUAAUUGAAGAAUAUGGGGAGGGAGAUAUAGAAGAACGAAGAGGUGGGGGUGAUGAACCCCUUGAGCUUCCAGAGGGGACUUCCUUCAGGGUGGACAAUAAGCGGUUCUACUUUGAUGUGGGAUCUAACAGGUAUGGCAUUUUUUUGAAGGUAAGUGAGGUGAGACCACCUUACCGUAACACCAUCACUGUCCCGUAUAAAGCGUGGACAAGGUUUGGGGAAAACUUUAUCAAAUAUGAAGAAGAAAUGAGGAGAAUUUACAACAGCCAUAAAGAGAAAAGAAUGGAUGUCACAGGUGACAGUGGUGAAGAGCAAGAGGGUCUGGAAUAGAGUGCGUUUGAACUGGUCGUCAGGCAAAACAGAAAACCAUAAAUUGGCUAGAGGUCAUUGUUCUGAAGGAUCUUGGUCCUACUGGAAUUAAAAUAAUGGAAAUAAAAUGCAUGUGUUAAAAGUGUAGAAAUGGUGAAGAAUUAAAUGUGAACUUACUGUACGAUACUGAUUCUGUUUUCAAACAAUCUGUUUUGCUGUUCAGUAGUUGACAUAUAAAAACGCAAAUGUACUGUAAUUUAGCACUUUUCCCACUGGACCCUGUUCUCACUUCGUCAGAGGUAUGAAGUGGUGUUGGUGUGAGACUGGCUUCAGGAGUUUACUUUUCUUGCUGUGUAUACCCAUUUAUGAUGAUAUGUUGUGCACCCAGAAGAGUAAACCUGUUAACCCUUUCUAUGUGUUUGUUAUACAGUAUCUUGCAGGAUGCCAGAAUUGGCCUAAAUGCAACUAAAAGUUCAGGGUCUCUUUACAUGAUCUGUUUCUAGAACGGCAUUUCAUUGCCAGCUAAGUUGGUGUGUGGGAAGUUUCAGUAGUCAAACAGCUAGCUUUAGAGGAGUAAUGUGAAUUUGCCUUUAACAAACUUUUUUAUCCCCAAGUGUACCUGAUCAGAUGGGCAUGUCCACUAAAGCACUGAUUACAUUUCCUGAGUCAAGACUUUAUCCCAGUUCUCAUGGUUAUCAGAAUCCUCUAUACAAGUGCCACAAUAAAAUAAAAACUAAAGUGACCCAUAUGCAAUUCACUUUUCAUUAAUCCUGCAGUGGUCACUAAUCCAUUUAAACCAGGUUUUUUGUCUCUCUGUUCUCUCUCAUCCUCCCCCCCCCCCCCACCACCCUCUUAUUGUUAGUAGCAGCAGUAGUGACCAUUAUAAGCUGGUAGUGCCCAAAGGCGCUGGGGGCUGUCCAGAUGUAGACAGAGCACACGAGCAAUUCUUCUGGUGAAGAAUUGACACAGGUGUGUCAGUUACAUAUUUUGUUUUAGUGUUUUAAUGGGGACAGAGUCCAAGUGAGAUAGUGUCAGGAAUAGGGAGGUACAAGUGUGAGAGGCAGAAACCGCUCACCCUGGCUGGCCAGGCUCUGUCAACAUCACUGCACUGAGGAGAGUAAGGAAGCAGAUGUCGGGUGGAGGGAGUUGAUGUGGUCCAAGUGAUGAGUUCGGGCAGCAGCAUUCUUGAUGUAUCCGAGGGGUGCGAGGCAGAGGGAGUCACAUCCGGCGGUUGAGGGUCUGAUCUCCGACAUGCUCUAUAGGAAGAUGCAGUAGGAUGUAGCCAUGGUCUGCAUGUGCAAGACUGGAGAGAAGGCUGGGUCAGACCCCUGGUUAUGGGCCUGCAUGAGUGGGGGGAUGGUGAUCUCUAGGGUGAUGCAGGGAAAUGGGAAGGGACUUGAGGGAAAGAUCAAGGACCCAGCUUGAGGUACACUGGGUCUGAAAGGGCAACUGGACAUUGCAGAGUGGUCAUCGAUGGGCUGAGAUAUGGGGCUGGAUGGAGGGUGACAGUUUGUCAAUCAAGAGAUAGAUUGGUAAGCUGGGGGUGGGGGUGUCAAGGUGGCAGCCAAAGCCAUGUUUGCGGUAAGAGCACCUCCAGGUAAGGGGUGGGCAGGGGCAGAGGCAGGGCAGCUAUCACCAGGAGGUGACAGCAGAAGAGAGAGUGGAGGCGUGUUGUGUAGGUGAGAGGGAAAAGGGGACAAGAGUAAACAGUAGUGCUAGUGAGAGCAGUAGAGGAGAGAGUACAGCUGUGGAGUGGGGGAGGGAAUGAGAAGAGAUGGGGAGGAGGACAGAUGAAGCAGAGGAGGCUGAGCAUGGCUGAGUGAGACCUAUUGGCCAGCGAGGAGGCAGCGGUUGUAGAGGCCCUGACUCUUUAAGUCCCAGUUGUCCAAGAUUCCUGCAGGGUAGUAGGUGAUGUAGAAGGCAGUGAUGGAAGCAGCGUAAUUCAUGUGUUUGAACCUCGGAACAGGGGGCUGGUUACUUCCCAGUACCGCUCUUGGCCCUGGAGAUCUGGCCUUAAGACUGGCUCCCAGCUGCAGAGCAGGGCAGUCAUAUUCAUCCUACACUGGGUAACAACAAAAUGUUGAAACCCCACAUCAUGACCUCAUGUUCAGACUGAGGCAGGAUAUCCCACCAUCCCAAGCUGCCUCACUGCAUAGCACUCUUAGCAGUGUAUCCACAGAUCUACUCGGAUGCAUGUUGUGGCGCUCCCUUGCCUGCCAUGUCAGUGUACUACUGCAAGGCCUAGAUUUCAGGAAGGCUAAAGCGAAGUGAGGUGGCUACAGAUCUAUUUUAUUGGGUUAUUUUGUGGUUCUAACAUUUAAUUUGUGUAUCUUUACAUUUGCAAAAUACACGUUUGGUAUUUGCCCAUAUUGAAACAGAGACCAACAAAUCUGGGCACGCUUUCUGAGACCAUGUAAAUAUCAGACCCUGAAUUUUGAAGGUAGGAAGAAGGUAAACUAACCCUCUCACACAAGACAUGUUUAAAUCUACAGCCUAUUCUAGUGUUAACAGGGUGCAAGGUGUUACUUGUCAUGUACUGUACUAAAAGGGUUCAUUGAUCAGUGACUGUAUUGUACUGUAUGAAAAAUCAUAAAUUGCCUUGUAUUGUUUAUAAUAGACUGUACCAUGUACCACACACAGUUCCAUGUUCCAAGUUUUUUAAUGAUGCAUGUUGCCAGUUAGGUCCUAAAAUUACGUGGUGCUAAUUCUUCCAUAUCCAAUGGUGCUUCUGAGGAUGCUAACUGCACACAUGCUGAACAAAGCUUGAAGUUUAAAGUCUCUCUCAUCUGUUUGUAUGAAGUAAACACACAAAAUGAUAAACUUGAAUUUGUUUCAAAGUACCAUUGACAAUCUACUGUUUUCUAUGUGUGCUUUCUUUGGGUUCAGGAUUGUUUUUCCAGAAAGCAGCUCUGUUUCUAUAAAACACACUCUUGUAUUUCCACUUGGAGAUGGUUUCGCCAUGCUCCUACAUAGUUCUAGCAAGGCCAAGAAUCUAGGUUACUCCUCAGGUGUUUAAAACUCUUUGACCCUCAGCCGAUUUUUCAAUCCAGAUUCAUUUAGAUGAAAAUAUCCAUGCCAGGUAGGUCCUUACAACAGCUACAGGAUAGCCAGGUGACAGGCGGUAAUGCAGCUCUCUCUGGCGUUUCUAGAUGUUUCAUUCCUUGUGCCAGUAGAGGAUGGGAAUUCUACAGAGGCUGCUCACUCAGCCCUGAAGGGAAGAAAGUCCUCUGCAUCACACAGCCGGGGCUCCGCCGGCCAGGUGCAGCAGCAGUGCUGACCGCUUGCUCCACUCUGCAGCUUUCAAGCAUGGUAUUCCCAAUACAGGGACCUUGCAUUGUGAAGGGUGAAUACGGGCAACAUGGAGGAUUUACCAAGACGUAUUAGAAAUCGGUGCUCAUUCCUUGCAGUAUGUGAGCACCUGUGUAGCUAAGUUAGUCCCAGCUUUGACCCCCUAGAACGCUGUCCAUAGUAUAAUGGAGAAGUGCAGUAACAGAAAGGCUAGGUAGAUUUCUGCUAGCUCUAGAUGUUCACACUGGAGACCAUUGCUUGAGCAUAGUAUGUAAAGUCAAAUGAAUUUCCUCAGCUCUUGAAAAUUAGUUCCUCCAUUUCUUGGAUUGUUAGUAUGCAAGUUCUAUACCAAAGGCCGCUCCAUCAGAGCUGAACUGCAAAUCACAAGAGAAUUUAAUUUUUAGAGCUGAAUAGUGCUUGUUUUUUGUGAACACACAUUUUCCACAAAAGAAUUAGAUGCAUCUGUCUAGCUUGUGAAAUUAGUACUCAUUGGUGCCUAUCUGAGCACCCAUGUAGCUAAAUUUGUUCCAGUUUUGACCACUAGAAGGUGCCCAUUGUGUGCCUCCUUUUCUGUCAAAAUAAAGACUGUGUCUGCAGUGAUAAUAGAUUUCUCCUUCUGAGUUUCUAGGGCAAGAAGCCAGGAAAGAAAAUGGUAAGUAGGCGACCUAGAUCUAGGAGGGAAUAGGUUUGCCUUUGACAGAACAGACAGAAUUGACCAAACCUACACUAAGAAAACAAAGCAUUUCCAUAGCAUUUUUUCUGCAGUUGUUUGUUGGUCACGUGCAUUUUACACUACUGUAAAAUUAGUAGGGGCUGCAGGGAAAUCUCCAGAUUCCCCAUAGGGCUUUCAAAACUCCCUGCCAGCUGAGGAGCCAAUAUUCUGAUGAGUUAUUUGGCCUGUUUAAAAUAAAGGGGGAAAAAAGAGCUGCUUUUUUGGAGAAAAAAAUCUGAAUAUAUUUUAUAUCUAUUUGAAAACAAAGUCUGAUAUUUACCCCUGUUAGCAAUUGAAUUUAUAUAUUGUUUGCCACAAUAUUUGUUCUGUCUUAAAAUAAAUUUGCUUACUUGUGUAGUCUAAAAA
Trachemys scripta elegans is the source of this 5419-nucleotide RNA transcript. It is a transcript of the gene named purine rich element binding protein G, with no coding region annotated. The record is from RefSeq and is a predicted model, not a curated record. The transcript is spliced from 3 exons. NCBI's taxonomy places the organism in Eukaryota, Metazoa, Chordata, Testudines, Emydidae.